GCGCGAGUGGCGAAAUGGCAGACGCGCUGGCUUCAGGUGCCAGUGUCCGCAAGGACGUGCGGGUUCAAGUCCCGCCUCGCGCACAA
RNAcentral lists this transfer RNA (86 nucleotides) under Candidatus Aquiluna sp. XM-24bin5. Its description in RNAcentral is "tRNA-Leu". It matches the Rfam family "tRNA". From Rfam's summary of the family: Transfer RNA (tRNA) molecules are approximately 80 nucleotides in length. The record is from RNAcentral. Lineage: Bacteria; Bacillati; Actinomycetota; Actinomycetes; Micrococcales; Microbacteriaceae.